RNAcentral lists this ribosomal RNA (735 nucleotides) under Dujardinascaris gigantea. RNAcentral describes it as "eukaryotic LSU rRNA". It matches the Rfam family "Eukaryotic large subunit ribosomal RNA", at positions 69 to 647 of the family's 3401-position model. The record is from RNAcentral. Lineage: Eukaryota; Metazoa; Nematoda; Chromadorea; Rhabditida; Heterocheilidae.
CGAGGAUUCCCCUAGUAACGGCGAGUGAACGGGGAAAAGCCCAGCGCUGAAUCCCUCGGCCAUUGGUCGCUGGGAACUGUAGCGUACAGGUGCGGCUGUCCGUUUGUUUCGUGCACCCAAAGUCCCCUUGAGCGGGGCUACAGUCCAUAGAAGGUGCUAGACCUGUACGGGUGGUGAGACAUGCGGUAGGUUGCUCCUUGGAGUCGGGUUGCCUGAGAUCGCAGCCCAAAGAGGGUGGUAAACCUCAUCUAAGGCUAAAUACGGCCACGAGACCGAUAGCAAACAAGUACCGUGAGGGAAAGUUGCAAAGAACUUUGAAGAGAGAGUUCAAGAGGGCGUGAAACCGCUGAGAUGGAAACGGAUAGAGUUGACUAAACUCGAUGGCAUUCAGCUGAUCCGCGCGGCGGUCUUGCGGCUUUGUGCCUCGAUGAGGACAAUGACGCGAGUAACUGUAGCGUAUUGAUUAGUGUAUUUGCCGUCGGUAUGCGCUGAGAGCUUCGCUACCGUGCGUUGAUGAGCGUGUAGUGGACCAUUCCUUCCGGGCGUGGAACCCCCCGCGCUUCUAUGCGCAUCGGUGGUGAAGAGUGCGCUGUCUCCGCUAUUGCGCAUCGCCUGCGGCGCGGCUUUUGUGACUGCUGGGUAGUCGCGUGCGACUGCUUUCAGUUGGCGAGGGCCCGCCGUAACGCUUGUUGCGUGGGGACAGCAUCUCGGUGUGAACGUUGACCACCUAUCCGA